Molecule: ribosomal RNA, 304 nt
Filed under: uncultured bacterium
Lineage: Bacteria
Description: partial 16S ribosomal RNA
Source: RNAcentral
GUACCUCCCCUCCUCCUCGGAGGAGAGGUUGGGGAGGGAGGCCGCUGUGCUGAUCCGACUCAACCAUGGGGUCUCCAGGAUCGAGCCCCUUCCCUAACCUCUCCCCGCGGCGGGGAGGGGAAACGCCGCCAAUGCCGAUGGCAGGCCGAUAAGACCCUCCUGCUCCCUGCUAGUCCGGAAUCCUCACCCGGCUGGAUCCCUCCUUAACCGAAUUCCGCACACUGGGGCCGUUACAGUGGAUCCAGCUCGGUACAAGCUUGGGUAAUCAUGUCAUAGCUGUUCCUGUGUAAAUUGUUACCCGCUA